AAUCAACGCUGGCGGCGUGCCUAAUACAUGCAAGUCGAACGCGAAAGUCCCGCAAGGGGCGAGUAGAGUGGCAAACGGGUGAGUAACGCGUGGGCGACCUACCUUCGAGUGGGGGAUAACCUUCCGAAAGGAGGGCUAAUACCGCAUGACAUCCCGUGUUUGGAUACACGGACAUCAAAGUCGGGGAUCGCAAGACCUGACGCUUGGAGAGGGGCCCGCGUCCGAUUAGCUAGUUGGUGGGGUAACGGCCCACCAAGGCUUCGAUCGGUAUCCGGCCUGAGAGGGCGGACGGACACACUGGAACUGAGACACGGUCCAGACUCCUACGGGAGGCAGCAGUAGGGAAUUGUUCGCAAUGGGCGCAAGCCUGACGACGCAACGCCGCGUGGAGGAUGAAGACUUUCGGGUCGUAAACUCCUUUCGACCGAGAUGAAUACCUGCCGACUUAAUACGUUGGCAGGCUGACAGUAU
RNAcentral lists this ribosomal RNA (471 nucleotides) under uncultured bacterium. RNAcentral's name for it is "bacterial SSU rRNA". It matches the Rfam family "Bacterial small subunit ribosomal RNA", at positions 32 to 478 of the family's 1533-position model. The record is from RNAcentral.